Molecule: long non-coding RNA, 828 nt
Filed under: Homo sapiens (human)
Lineage: Eukaryota; Metazoa; Chordata; Mammalia; Primates; Hominidae
Description: non-protein coding lnc-FOXD4L6-2:3
Source: RNAcentral
ACGGCGUGUUGGUCCCAGCGGUUCAGCUGAGGUAGGGACGUGCUGUAGGCCGGAAUGUUACCGGCUGUUGGAUCUGUGGAUGAGGAAGAGGAUCCUGCGGAGGAGGAUUGUCCUGAAUUGGUUCCCAUUGAGACGACGCAAAGCGAGGAGGAGGAAAAGUCUGGCCUCGGCGCCAAGAUCCCAGUCACAAUUAUCACCGGGUAUUUAGUUAUUCAGAGGCUGCUCUACUGAGAAGAUGAACAAAUUUCUUGUCCAAAACAAUGUAUUUCAAACGUGCCCCUCGGGCCUUUCCCGUGUUGCUCACUGGUGCUGGGAAGACAACACUUCUGAACUAUAUUUUGACAGAGCAACAUAGUAAAAGAGUAGCGGUCAUUUUAAAUGAAUCUGGGGAAGGAAGUGCGCUGGAGAAAUCCUUAGCUGUCAGCCAAGGUGGAGAGCUCUAUGAAGAGUGGCUGGAACUUAGAAACGGUUGCCUCUGCUGUUCAGUGAAGUGAGGAAUGUGUUUACUGUGUACAUGGUUUACUAGAAAUGUUUAUUGAUUAUAUUUCCAGCUUUAAUUUUCUUGAGUAAUUUAACUGAAUUUACACAGUUUGCUUCAUUGUAUUUUCAAACAAAUAGAAAAUAAACUUAUUAGGAAGCAUUUUCUUAAAGUGUUUCUUGCUGUCUUUUCUAUCUGCUCUAAUGUUUUGGUCCUUUUAUUGAGUUUUUAUUGCUUUUGAUGUCAGGGCUUAUUUAAUCUCUAGUGCAUGAAAGUCUCAUAUGUAAAAAAUGAUUAUUCUGAAUUUAAUCUGUCAUUGGUCAUACUUCUAAGUGUUCAACCUUAUAAAA